UACGGAGGGUGCAAGCGUUAAUCGGAAUUAUUGGGCGUAAAGGGCUCGUAGGCGGUCUGUCACGUCGGGAGUGAAAACACGGGGCUUAACCCCGUGCCUGCUUCCGAUACGGGCAGACUAGAGGUAUGCAGGGGAGAACGGAAUUCCUGGUGUAGCGGUGAAAUGCGCAGAUAUCAGGAGGAACACCGGUGGCGAAGGCGGUUCUCUGGGCAUUACCUGACGCUGAGGAGCGAAAGUGUGGGGAGCGAACAGG
Molecule: ribosomal RNA, 253 nt
Filed under: uncultured bacterium
Lineage: Bacteria
Description: partial 16S ribosomal RNA
Rfam family: Bacterial small subunit ribosomal RNA
Source: RNAcentral